GAUGAACGCUGGCGGCGUGCCUAAUACAUGCAAGUCGAACGGACGGACGAGAAGCUUGUUUCCUUGAUGUUAGCGGCGGACGGGUGAGUAACGUGUGCAUAACCUACCUAUAUGACUGGGAUGACUUCGGAAAGCCGGAUAUAAUAACGGAUCAUAUUUUGAACCGCCUGGAUCAGAAGUGAAAGACGGCCUUGCUGUCUCAUAUAGCUGGAUCCGCGCUGCAUUAGCUAGUUGGUAAGGUAACGGCCUACCAAGGCAACGAUGCAUAGCCGACCUGAGAGGGGGAUCGGCCACACGGGAACUGAGACACGGUCCAGACUCCUACGGGAGGCAGCAGUAGGGAAUCUUCGGCAAUGGGCGAAAGCCUGACGGAGCGACGCCGCGUGAGUGAUGAAGGUCUUCGGAUCGUAAAGCUCUGUUAUUGGGGAAGAACAUAUGUGUAAGGAAAUGUGGACAUCUUGACGGUACCUAAAGAAAAAGCCCCGGCUAACUACGUG
RNAcentral lists this ribosomal RNA (497 nucleotides) under uncultured bacterium. RNAcentral's name for it is "partial 16S ribosomal RNA". It matches the Rfam family "Bacterial small subunit ribosomal RNA", at positions 28 to 507 of the family's 1533-position model. The record is from RNAcentral.